This 647-nucleotide ribosomal RNA is filed under the name uncultured bacterium. RNAcentral describes it as "bacterial SSU rRNA". It matches the Rfam family "Bacterial small subunit ribosomal RNA", at positions 56 to 749 of the family's 1533-position model. The record is from RNAcentral.
UGCAAGUCGAGCGCGCCCUUCGGGGUGAGCGGCGGACGGGUGAGUAACGCGUGGGAAUAUGCCCUUCUCUAAGGAAUAGCCUCUGGAAACGGAGAGUAAUACCUUAUACGCCCUUUGGGGGAAAGAUUUAUCGGAGAAGGAUUAGCCCGCGUUAGAUUAGGUAGUUGGUGGGGUAAUGGCCUACCAAGCCUACGAUCUAUAGCUGGUUUGAGAGGAUGAUCAGCCACACUGGGACUGAGACACGGCCCAGACUCCUACGGGAGGCAGCAGUAGGGAAUCUUAGACAAUGGGGGCAACCCUGAUCUAGCCAUGCCGCGUGUGUGAUGAAGGCCCUAGGGUCGUAAAGCACUUUCGCCAGAGAUGAUAAUGACAGUAUCUGGUAAAGAAACCCCGGCUAACUCCGUGCCAGCAGCCGCGGUAAUACGGAGGGGGUUAGCGUUGUUCGGAAUUACUGGGCGUAAAGCGCACGUAGGCGGAUUAGUAAGUUAGAGGUGAAAUCCCAGGGCUCAACCCUGGAACUGCCUUUAAUACUGCUAGUCUUGAGCUCGAGAGAGGUAAGUGGAAUUCCGAGUGUAGAGGUGAAAUUCGUAGAUAUUCGGAGGAACAUCAGUGGCGAAGGCGGCCACCUGGACAGAUACUGACGCUGA